Long non-coding RNA from Epinephelus fuscoguttatus (brown-marbled grouper), 1464 nucleotides. RefSeq lists it as uncharacterized. The record is from RefSeq and is a predicted model, not a curated record. Lineage: Eukaryota; Metazoa; Chordata; Actinopteri; Perciformes; Serranidae. The transcript has 3 exons.
CCGCCAUCUUUCCUCUUUGCUGCCGGCCGCUGACGUCACGCCCGCACUCCCCUCUCAGCAGCCAAUCACCGCUCAGCGUCUUGCUCUUCGUUACGUGCAGCAGACGGGACGGUGCAGUGACGUGAUGCUGCCAUCCAACGAGGACAAAAUCUGUGCGGUCCUGGGCAAUCCUUGUCUCCUCUGCAUGACGAGCUGUGUCUGAUGGGCAGCUCCUUCAGCCACCAGGAGCAGGACUGAACCACUCACACGCUCCUUUGUGCCCACCGCCAUCAGACUGGACAACAGCAGUUUGGCUUAAGCUGCGUCCAGUUUGCAUCUGAUCAACAUGACACUUAAUCUGCCAGUUGACACUUUAGUUUAUUCCACACUUUGUCUGUCGUGUUUAGUCAUUUUAUUCAUCUUGAUGUAGCAAUUUUAUUUUAUUUAUCUUUGAUUUAUCAAUUGUUUUUUUUCUCUCUUCUAUCGUAUUCUAUUUAAUGUCUUUUUGUCUUGUUCUGCUUCGAUACUUGAAUUUGCCCUCUGGGGAUCGAUAAAGUACAUCUUACCUUAAUGAAUACUUUCUAGUGUUUCUGCUUCUCAUACUGUAUAUUUCUUUUAUCAUUAUUAUCAUUAUUAUCACUUCUCUGUUUUAUCUGUAUUUAUUUCUGUUAUUAUUUCUUUGUUGUGCUGCUGAUCUUAUCUUAUCUUAUCUUAUCUUACUGUCUUUGUCUAACAGAUUCAAGCAGCUGCAACCAAAGAUGUCAUGACUUUAUUAAAGUGAAGAAACAUCAGCAGCUUCUAAUUCAGGACUUUGAGCUUCUUUUCAAACGGAUGUAAACUCAGCUCAGUUUCAAAAGAACCGGAGAAAACGAUCAUCAGUAUCAGGAGGCGACACACCGGAUCCACCGGCUGCACAAAGCUCUCUGAUACCCUGCAGAAACACCGGAAAUGCUCUUCAAAAUAAAGGCCAUAUGUCGUUUAAAGAAAAACAAAAAAGACCACAUGCUGGUAUGUUUAAAACAACUAAAUGCAAAAUAAUAAAAAUCCUGUAAUGAAGUGUAGUUUUUAUGCUGCCUGUACUUUACAGGACUUUAUAUUCAUACUCUGUUUAUGUGACGCUGCAGGUUUGACUCUGUGAGAAAAAACAAUGACACAUGCAGACACAUGAUCAGUCAAUCAAUCAAUUGAUCGAUCAAUCAAUCAAUCAAUCAAUCAAUCAAUUUUAUUUAUAGAGCCCAAUAUCACAAAUCACAAUUUGCCUCACAGGGCUUUACAGCAUACGACAUCCCUCUGUCCUUAAGACCCUCACAGCUGAUCAGGAAAAACUCCCCAAAAAACCCUUUAACGGGGAAAAAACGGUAGAAACCUCAGGAAGAGCAACUGAGGAGGGAUCCCUCUUCCAGGACGGACAGACGUGCAAUAGAUGUCGUACAGAACAGAUCAACAUGAUAAAUUAACAGUAAUCUGUAUGACACAAUGAGACAG